GGGAUCAACAAUAGAAACAGAACAAAAAGAGGACAAAGGUGAAGAUUCAGAGCCUGUAACUUCUAAGGCCUCUUCAACAAGUACACCUGAACCAACAAGAAAACCUUGGGAAAGAACAAAUACAAUGAAUGGCAGCAAGUCACCUGUUAUCUCCAGGACAUUUUAGAUGAAAUGAGAAAAGAAUUAACAAAGCUAAAAGAAGAGCUCAUUGAUGUCUGUCCUUUUUUGUGUGUGGAGUUGUGGGCAGGUCAUUGGACUGGGACUGACUUUACCAGUUUUCAGGCUGUGGGGCUAGUCAGUCAUUCUCUCUGAGCCUUCUACCUCUAAAGUUGAGUUCUUUUUUUAAAUUCUUUUUGUUUUGUUUUUAUUUUUUCCUUGCCACUAUACAAGCAAGGAUAGAUAAAGCUUUUUAUUAUUAUUGUUAUUAUUAUUAUUUCGAGACAGUCUCGCUCUGUCAUCCAGGCUGGAGUGCAGUGGUGUGAUUUCAGCUCACUGCAACCUCUGCCUCCCGGGUUCAAGCGAUUCUCCUACCUCAGCCUCCUUAGUAGCUGGGACUACAGGCAUGCGCCACCACACCCGGCUAA
RNAcentral lists this long non-coding RNA (584 nucleotides) under Homo sapiens (human). RNAcentral describes it as "non-protein coding lnc-LBR-4:2". Lineage: Eukaryota; Metazoa; Chordata; Mammalia; Primates; Hominidae. The record is from RNAcentral.